UGCCAGCCGCCGCGGUAAUACGAAGGGACCUAGCGUAGUUCGGAAUUACUGGGCUUAAAGAGCUCGUAGGUGGUUAAAAAAGUUGAUGGUGAAAUCCCAAGGCUCAACCUGGGAACUGCGUUUAAUACUAGCAAGCUAGAGAAAUAGAGAGGAAAGUGGAACUCCCAGUGUAGAGGUGAAAUUCGUAGAUAUUGGGAAGAACACCAGUGGCGAAGGCGACUAACUGGGCCAUUUUUGACGCUGAGAUACGAAAGCGUGGGUAGCAAACAGGAUUAGAUA
RNAcentral lists this ribosomal RNA (279 nucleotides) under uncultured bacterium. RNAcentral describes it as "partial 16S ribosomal RNA". It matches the Rfam family "Bacterial small subunit ribosomal RNA", at positions 506 to 784 of the family's 1533-position model. The record is from RNAcentral.